This 1490-nucleotide ribosomal RNA is filed under the name uncultured bacterium. RNAcentral describes it as "bacterial SSU rRNA". It matches the Rfam family "Bacterial small subunit ribosomal RNA". The record is from RNAcentral.
AGGGUUUGAUCAUGGCUCAGGAUGAACGCUAGCGGCAAGCUUAACACAUGCAAGUCGAACGGUAACUUUUGGUGCUUGCACCGAAAGACGAGUGGCGGACGGGUGCGUAACGCGUAUGCAAUCUACCUUUUACUAGGGUAUAGCCCAGAGAAAUUUGGAUUAAUCCCCUAUAAUAUCAAAAUUCCGCAUGGUUUUUUGAUUAAAGCUUCGGUGGUAAAAGAUGAGCAUGCGUCCUAUUAGUUUGUAGGUGAGGUAACGGCUCACCUAGACUACGAUAGGUAGGGGCCCUGAGAGGGGGAUCCCCCACACUGGUACUGAGACACGGACCAGACUCCUACGGGAGGCAGCAGUGAGGAAUAUUGGACAAUGGACGAAAGUCUGAUCCAGCUAUGCCGCGUGCAGGAUGACAGCCCUACGGGUUGUAAACUGCUUUUAUACAGGAAGAAAAACUCCGACGUGUCGGAGCUUGACGGUACUGUAAGAAUAAGGAUCGGCUAACUCCGUGCCAGCAGCCGCGGUAAUACGGAGGAUCCAAGCGUUAUCCGGAAUUAUUGGGUUUAAAGGGUCCGCAGGCUGUUUUUUAAGUCAGAGUGAAAUCUGCAGCUCAACUGUAGAAUUGCCUUUGAAACUGAAAGACUUGAGUUAUUGUGAAGUGGUUAGAAUGUGUGGUGUAGCGGUGAAAUGCAUAGAUAUCACACAGAAUACCAAUUGCGAAGGCAGAUCACUAACAAUUAACUGACGCUCAGGGACGAAAGCGUGGGUAGCGAACAGGAUUAGAUACCCUGGUAGUCCACGCCGUAAACGAUGGAUACUAGCUGUAUGUCUACCUCAGGUAGAUGUGUGGCCAAGCGAAAGUGAUAAGUAUCCCACCUGGGGAGUACGAUCGCAAGAUUGAAACUCAAAGGAAUUGACGGGGGCCCGCACAAGCGGUGGAGCAUGUGGUUUAAUUCGAUGAUACGCGAGGAACCUUACCAGGGCUUAAAUGUAACGGGACAGGUCUAGAGAUAGACCCUUCUUCGGACUCAUUACAAGGUGCUGCAUGGUUGUCGUCAGCUCGUGCCGUGAGGUGUCAGGUUAAGUCCUAUAACGAGCGCAACCCCCAUCGUUAGUUGCCAACGAGUAAUGUCGGGAACUCUAACGAAACUGCCGGUGCAAACCGUGAGGAAGGUGGGGAUGACGUCAAAUCAUCACGGCCCUUACGUCCUGGGCUACACACGUGCUACAAUGGUCGGUACAGAGAGCAGCCACUUCGCGAGAAGGAGCAAAUCUACAAAACCGAUCUCAGUUCGGAUCGGAGUCUGCAACUCGACUCCGUGAAGCUGGAAUCGCUAGUAAUCGGAUAUCAGCCAUGAUCCGGUGAAUACGUUCCCGGGCCUUGUACACACCGCCCGUCAAGCCAUGGAAGUUGGGAGUGCCUGAAGUCGGUAACCGCAAGGAGCCGCCUAGGGUAAAACUAAUGACUGGGGCUAAGUCAUAACAAGGUAGCCGUA